Molecule: non-coding RNA, 5005 nt
Organism: Equus caballus (horse)
Lineage: Eukaryota; Metazoa; Chordata; Mammalia; Perissodactyla; Equidae
Source: RefSeq, a predicted model, not a curated record
UGCGCCCAGGAUCCGAACCAGCGAAACCCUGGGCCCUGAAGUGGAGCACGUGAACUUAACUACUCGGCCAUGGGGCUGGCCCCGAUGAGGGCUUCAUUAUUAUUUAUCUACAUCGUGCUGGUAAAUAGCUUUACAAUUUACAAACUACUUUCCUGAAUGUUAUCUUGUUUGAGGCACUCUGCAGCCCAUAAGGAAGGCAGAACCAAAACGAGUGAAGAUCCAAGAAUGGUGAAGACCUGGCAGCUUUGGAAUAAAAGCACUCGACAUCAAAUUUUCUGCAUCCUGUAAUUCUUGUUGGCCAAGUUCUAUUUUAGCAUAUGAGUAUAAAUAAAAUUAUUCAAUGAGAUAAUAUCCAAAGGGCUCGAAGUGUGCUGACAGUUACCACCAUCUCAUUAAAUGCUUGUUUCCUCUGUCUAGUGAUGAUUCUCUGCCUCCGACCUCGAGGAGCAGCAAACCCAGCCCUUUUCCUGGGGUCCAGCUCGCCUGGCAGGAGGAUUCUGGGAAGGCAUGAAGCACAAAGUCUGCUCUUGGGAAAAGGGCAGGGGGAGCUGUCAUCCUGGCCAUCCUGCACGCUUUGCCCACACAUUUGCAGUCCUUGCCUUAUCUUCCCAGAAAGCCUAGAGGCUAGGUUGGCCUUGCUGACAUUUGACCCUGGCUUUCUCCCCCCACAACUCUCCCAGCCCCACUCUCAUCCCUGCCUCACCCCCAGGAUGUCAACCUUGAAGAAAGCCCAUACUGUGUGCUUGGUGGUCUGCAGAUCAGCUCCAAGUAGGAGUACUGAUGCUUGGAGUGCCACUCACCCAGGAGAUCAUACGCCUGAGCUUCACUCUGGGCACCCACCCUGCUAGAUGCCAGUGGAUACAGAAGCGAAAGAGGAAAAUGAAGAAAUGCCACACAGCACACCCAGCACAGCUGUGAGCUGCCCAGCAUCGUCACUGCAGCUCCAGUCUGCCACAUGCCAGCCUGGUGGAAGGAUUUACUUAAAAUGAAGUCAAAGAGAGUUGAAAAACUAACUACAAGCAGAGGCCUGUGUCUGCUUUUCACAGGCCUUAUUUCAACACUGGCUUCCUACAAAAUCUCAGUGCCCAAGCUCUGGCCACUUUCUGUAACAUGCCUCCCCUCGCUCUGCCCUUGCCUUCCGUGUCUCACUCUGCAUUAUGCAUUCCACUUUCUAGUCCCUCCAUCUUCUUUCCUCCUGUUUUUCUUCUUCCUCCUCUUUCUUCUCCCUUCUUCCUCACCUAUUCGAUUUGCUCAGCACUUGACAGUUAUGAAGCUCUGAUAGAACAUCAGACAUAAUGAGUUCAGUGGCAUAUGUGACAGAGAUGAAGAAAAGAGAUGGAGACUCUGUUAGCAUAAUGACCACCAGAGCUACCCUAUAAGAGGGAACAGCAUCUUGUAGAUGCUUCAUCCUGACGCUGGGCUUUGGAAAAGCAGCCCUUGUCUUUCAUCUCCAAUGAGCAAGAACUAAAGACUGACACCUAUGCUUGUGUUUUGUGAGAUGUCUGUCUUGGUUUCGGUUCCCCCAAAGCAGACCUUGAAACAGGGGCUCAAGUGCAAAUAGUCUAUUUGGGAGGUGAUUCCAGGAAACACUAGUGGGGAGAGAGGAAGUGAGACAAAGGAGCUUCCAGAAGGAAGCCACUAAAGGGUGCAUUAUAAGGUGUUAAGUUACUAUGGGGACAACUAGAGCUCAGAUCUGCUGAGAACUCUAGAAGACAAUGUGGAAGGUGCCUCAGGGUUGUCCCCACUGCGGGGUGAGGAAGCUGGGCUACACAGACACUUCUGUCAUUAGUUGGGAGCUGCUUUCAGAGCUGAGCCAUUAACUCCCUGGCACUUCCCACCUUCCCUGUGCAGAGGUGAAGUGUGUUGCUGUGGCCAGAACAAAGCCCUCAGGCCGAGUCCCAGGUGUUUGCCGUGAGCGGUCUCUGGUGUGAAGAGGUGAGUGCUGAAAGGAUUUCAGCAGGCCAACAGCAACAUCUGCUAUAAACCGCUGUAGCCUUCCAAUCAGCACCCUUGAACUUGAGCCACGUUGAGUGGGUUUCUAUCCCUUGAAACUCAACAUCCCCUCACUAAGAUAUCCCACCUUUCCCUCAUUACUCCUAGGAGCUAUUCAAGGUAGUGCCAAGUUCCCUCACUCUCCUCCUUUCUCUUGUCCCUGGGGCCUUAAAAUGUCCCUCUCCUCCACCUCAAAAUGUCUUUGGAUCAUUCUUUUUUUCUUUGCUCUGGGCUUGGAAUAUUUUCUUUUCACCUGAGCUUUUGUACACACACACAAACACACACACGCUGCUUCCUCCAAGACUUUGUUCUGUUAUCAGUUACCCUCCUUGAAUGAUGAGCAAGAGUUCUGAAGAGAGUGUUCCAGGCAAUGGAAGCAGCAGGAGCCCACACUUAAACUGGGUCUAAGGGUGCCCUGCCCAAUGGAUCCCAUCUCCCAUAAUACAAAAUCCAGUUCCUGAGCCUUGAAUUCAGUACCAUAAUCCAAUUUACUUUUUUUUUUUUUAUACCUAAUCUACUUCUGUCUUUUCCUAUACAUCUCACUAAUCAACAAACAUUUAUGAGGGCUUUACUAUAUACCAGGCAUGGGUAAGGGACCAGGGAGGAGCAGUGAAUAAGACAGACACAGUGACACAGUCCCUGUCUUCAUGGAGUCUGCAGCCCAUUAGGGGUGGAGAAGAGAGAGAUGAGGUGGAGAUCAUAGGAAGGUUGCCCUUCUCUGAGCCAAAAAGCAUUCAGGAGAGGAGCCCAGAACGACCUGCCCUCCUGGCCUCUGUGCCUCUCCCCAUCUGUGUCCAGCCUCCAAUAAUUCCCACCUCCUGGUAUUCACACCUGGGGUAGUUCCUUCCCACACUGGGCCAGUCGGUCUCUAUGACCAAGAGAAUACAGCAGAAGUAAUGAUAUGUCACUUCUGAGAUUAGGUUAUAAAAGACACUGCAGCCUUUGUCUGGGGCUCUCUUUUUUUUCUCUCUCUCUCUCAGAUCAUUUGGUCUGAGAUUCAGUUGCCAUAUUAUAAGCAUCUCUGUGGAGAAACUGAGACUUCCAGCAAACAGCCACAUGGAUGACUCGUCUUAGAAGUAGAUCCUCCAGCCCCAGUCAAACCUUCUGAUGACUGCAGACCCAGUGAUGCAAUCUCCUGAGAGACUCUUAGGCAGAACCACCUCACUCAGCUGCUCCCCAAUUUCUGACCCUCAGAAAUUGUGUGACAUAAUAAAUCUUUAUUUUUUUAAGCCACUAUAUUUUGGGGUAAUUUGUUACACAGCAAUAGAUAACUAACAUACCACCUUUCACUCUAUUACCUUUCCCUUGAUAUCCAGGGCCUUUCUGCUUAUCCCUUAUGGUUCUCAUUGUCCACCUGCUCACCAGCAUCUCUUGGUGGGCCCAACAGAAAACAUUACGACAUGAUUCCAAAGGUGCUUUCAAAGCCUCAAAGUUAGCUAAAACCCUACACACUUACACACUUUCCUUUCCCUUAGCAGUUUUUUCCCUUAAUUUAUGUUCCCUUAUACAAUUCAAGGUGAAAAAGAAGCCACAAGUUCCUAAUUCAUUUAUACUCUCCUCUUCCACAUGGCCUUGUGAGAGUGAUUUCGUGUGAGAAAGGUCUCUCUCUGAACCCCUUAAAGCUUCUGCUCUUCUACUGUGAACAAAAGAAGUGAGCUAGCCAAGAAUAAAUGGAAUUUGGACCUCAAAAGGUUGGAGCUGGAUCUUAAAUCUGGAAUUCGUGCUCUCUGAGUGGGUUCCAAACUGGAAGCUUCCUUGCCCUCCUCUGAUUCAGUCUCUCUUCCUCAUUGGACUGUUCUGUCCACCAGAGAUAUGGAAACACUUCCCACGGUGGCUUCCUUGGAGAGCAUGAAGGAAGGAGUCACUCAAGUACAGAAUUAUCUUAAAGCUACAGUGCAGGGCUUGGACAGGCUUAGAAUGACUCAUGGGGCUGGCUUCUCUAUCAGCAGAGGAUUCAAGCUCUGGACUUGGUUUUCCCCUUUUUGUUCUAAUUUUCAAUCCUGAGAAGGAGCUCUGAAAAUUCCCAAGGAACAUUAAACCAUCUACCUGCCCCAGGUCACCACCCUAAGAUUUGGCAUUGAGGAACCAUUUCUCCAGGCUUUGUGAUAGCCCAGUGUGGGACACAAGACAGAAAAGACAGAAGCAGUUUUAGUUAUUUUGGUAACAUUAGUUGUGUCCCUCUCCUUUGGAAUGAGUGCAAAUUCUUCUGAAAGGCAUAAAGGAGAUAGGGGGAUACAGAAUACUAUUUAUUGAGUCCCUACUAUGUACAAGAUUGUUACUUCAUUCCUCACAGGAACCCAGUGAGGGAGGAUUUGGUGGCAGUUUUAGAACAUGGCUUCAAAUUCUUUGAUCGUCCUCUCACUGAGAGGCAGAGUUUAUUCUGUAUCCUCUACCCUUGAAUCUGGGGAGGCUGGUGACUUCUUUGACUGUACAGUGUGGUGAAAAUGAUGCUAUGUGACUCCCAAGGCCAGGUCAUAAAAUGCCACAAAGUUCCUGCCUUGUUGGCUGGGACACUCAUUCUUGGUACCUGGAGUCAUCAUGUAGGAUGUCCCAGAGCCCAGAGGCCACCACUCUGUGAAGAAGCCCAAACCAUAUGGAGAAGCCAUACAUAGAUGGUCUGGUCAACAGUCCCAAUUUAGCCCAGUUUCAAAUCAUCCCAGCUGAAGCCCCAAACAUCAUGAAGCAGAAACGACCCGUCCCCAUUGUGCCUUGGUCCAAAUUGCUGACCCAGAGAAUCUGUGAGCAUGACAAAUUGGUUGUUUUUAUGCCAUUAGGUUUAGGAUUAUUUGUUACACAGCAAUAAACAACUAUAACAGUAUUAUUUUUCCUUUUGCACUGAUGUGGAAACUGAGACUUGGAGAAAUUAAAUUUUAAGGCCAGUAAGUGACAAAAAGAUGAUUUGAACUUGGGUCUCUAACUAUAAAAGUCAGGUCUCUGACUUUUUCCAAGAGGGGCCCAAUCUGGGGCUGGCCUGGUGGCUCAGUGGUUAAGUUCACACAUUCUGCUUCAGAGG